AAUAAGAUUAUUUUUUAGUUUUUUGAUACAAUGUUUUGACUCUUCGUCUUAUCUGAAAUUUUUUUGUGAUUAAUUUUUUUGUUCUUACUAGAUGAUAAAACAUAAAUAGUAUUUUAUGCGUGACUAAUUUUUUCUAAAGUUUUUGUACAAAUUUUUUAAAUAAGAUGAAUGGUCAAACGUUGGACACGGAAAAACGAAAAUGAAGUUAUU
RNAcentral lists this microRNA precursor (210 nucleotides) under Oryza brachyantha (malo sina). RNAcentral's name for it is "MIR812 microRNA precursor family". It matches the Rfam family "MIR812 microRNA precursor family". The record is from Rfam by way of RNAcentral. Lineage: Eukaryota; Viridiplantae; Streptophyta; Magnoliopsida; Poales; Poaceae.